CCUACGGGAGGCAGCAGUGGGGAAUUUUGGACAAUGGGCGCAAGCCUGAUCCAGCAAUGCCGCGUGCAGGAAGAAGGCCUUCGGGUUGUAAACUGCUUUUGUCAGGGAAGAAAUCCUCUGGGUUAAUACCUCGGGGGGAUGACGGUACCUGAAGAAUAAGCACCGGCUAACUACGUGCCAGCAGCCGCGGUAAUACGUAGGGUGCGAGCGUUAAUCGGAAUUACUGGGCGUAAAGCGUGCGCAGGCGGUUGUGCAAGACAGGUGUGAAAUCCCCGGGCUUAACCUGGGAACUGCACUUGUGACUGCACAGCUAGAGUACGGUAGAGGGGGAUGGAAUUCCGCGUGUAGCAGUGAAAUGCGUAGAUAUGCGGAGGAACACCGAUGGCGAAGGCAAUCCCCUGGACCUGUACUGACGCUCAUGCACGAAAGCGUGGGGAGCA
Molecule: ribosomal RNA, 440 nt
Filed under: Aquabacterium citratiphilum
Lineage: Bacteria; Pseudomonadati; Pseudomonadota; Betaproteobacteria; Burkholderiales; Sphaerotilaceae
Description: bacterial SSU rRNA
Rfam family: Bacterial small subunit ribosomal RNA
Source: RNAcentral